UACAGAGGUCUCAAGCGUUGUUCGGAUUCAUUGGGCGUAAAGGGUGCGUAGGUGGCGCCGUAAGUCGGGUGUGAAAUUUCGGAGCUUAACUCCGAAACUGCAUUCGAUACUGCGGGACUAGAGGACGGUAGAGGCGUGUGGAAUUCCGGGUGUAGUGGUGAAAUGCGUAGAGAUCCGGAGGAACACCGGUGGCGAAGGCGGAUCUCUGGGCCAUUACUGACGCUGAGGAGCGAAAGCGUGGGGAGCGAACAGG
RNAcentral lists this ribosomal RNA (253 nucleotides) under uncultured bacterium. RNAcentral describes it as "partial 16S ribosomal RNA". It matches the Rfam family "Bacterial small subunit ribosomal RNA", at positions 524 to 776 of the family's 1533-position model. The record is from RNAcentral.